GCAGAGAGGAGGUGUUGAUUUUAGAAAUACAAGGGGGGAGUUUGGAGGGGCACUGCGGUAGCCAUGUUUUUAUUAUUUUGGGGGAGGCAAGGGAAUACAGAAUUUGAAGACCCCGCUUUCAAGUUCCUGGACGUGAAAUAAAAAUUUGGUAACCUGCAAAGAUUGUGUGCUCUUAUUGGAUCCAUUUGUCACCGAAGUCGGGUGCAUUUCAUCUUGCAUGCAAUAUUAGUAGGAGAUGAAUAUCUGGAAGAGGCCCACGCUUCAUUGAACCUAGGUGCGUUUCCAGUCACUGACCGCAAAGGGGAACAACUGCUUUCUCCAAUAAUAAUGCCUACACGUCUGUUUUUUUA
This 350-nucleotide long non-coding RNA is filed under the name Setaria viridis. RNAcentral's name for it is "long non-coding RNA (SVIR_LNC000258)". Lineage: Eukaryota; Viridiplantae; Streptophyta; Magnoliopsida; Poales; Poaceae. The record is from RNAcentral.